Lathyrus oleraceus (garden pea) is the source of this 1658-nucleotide long non-coding RNA. RefSeq lists it as uncharacterized. Lineage: Eukaryota; Viridiplantae; Streptophyta; Magnoliopsida; Fabales; Fabaceae. The transcript is spliced from 2 exons. The record is from RefSeq and is a predicted model, not a curated record.
AGAGAGAGAGAGAGAGAGAGAGAGAGAGAGAGAGAGAGAGAGAGAGAGAGAGAGAGAGAGAGAGAGAGAGAGAGAGAGAUUGAGUUGACGGUUUUUAGAGGUUGAUGAUGAUGAUGAUGAUGAGUGUGAAUGUUCAAGGGCUUUGAAAUUUGAGAAGUGAACUGUGAAUGAAUUCAGGGUCAAAAUGAGAAAAUAUGGAGAGAUUGUAGCUAGCAAUGAUUUGGUGGUUAUAUAGUUGUUAUUGGCUUGGGGAUUGAUGCAAAGUUAGUUAUGAUAUUAUGGGGAUUUGUGAAAAUCAGUUGGUGAAGUUGUGAAGUCGAGGCAGUGUUAGUUAGUAUAUGAAAUGUUAGUUAGGUUUAGUUUUGAUGAUGUCGGAUUAGUUGGUUAUUGAAGUCAGGUGAUGAUAGGUUAAUUCUGUUAGGAUUGAGUUCAAUUAAGUUAGUUGAAAUGUGAUAGGUUAAUUGGCUAGGUUAGCUUGAAUCGUGUUAGGCCUAUUGUUCAGUUGGAAUGUGGUUUGGUAGAUGGUAUUUAUGCUAUGAUGUUGAUGUCUGCAUCGGAUGGUUACUAUGGUUGAUAUGUUGUAGGUUUUUUGUUACAAUGUUCAUAUAUGAUAUGGUUCAGGUUUACAAGAUGGCUGGCUCGAUUUUAGGAAAUGGUUGCAUGUUGCAGGAUUAUAGGAUGCUUAUGUCUGCUGCAGAAUGGCUUGAUGGUUUACUGUGGUGGUUUUGCCUCGCUCAUGCAUAACUUAGUCUUGGCAAGGUUGGUUGCAAUGUCCUGUAGCAGGUUGGACUGCUCAUUGCAGGAUUAAUUAAAGUUGUAUGUUGGUAACAUGACAUUGGUUUGGUACUUAUUGCAUAGAAGGUCCUAUAAGGUGAGAUGCUUGGCUCAUCAUGCAGCAAAGUUAUGAAUGAUUGGCAGCUAGCUUCCGUAUGUACAUUGACAUUGCAGCUUAGAUGAUCUGCCUUGAAUUUAUGCAGCUCUGUGUUGUGUAUUGAUUAGCUUUAUUCAGCUGCUACUAAACUGACUUUGUGUGCGUGUCUAGUAAUGCCACUGACUUGCUUUGACAUUAUUGAUGUUCCAUGUUCAAUAUAGCUGCAGAGUUUGUGUUUGGCUACUGCAUUUAUGAUGCUAGGCAUGUGUGUUUGGACAUGGUUCAGGGGUUGGUUACAUCAUGUUUCUAUAGGCAAUGUGUUGCAGAAUUUGCACAAUUGGUGAGGUUCUUUGGAUUAUUGUUAUGUCUUUGGUUUGCCACUACUGUUUUGUUGGUGUUUGAUAACAGGUUAUGUGAAUGGCAUGAUGUGCUGUAGUGCUUGAAGCAGGUUCAACAAGGUCUUUUUGCAAGUGUAAUGCUUUAUGACUUGCAUUGGUUCAUGUUUGGCAUGACUUGGUUGGUUCUUGUAGGAUGCUAGGCAAGUUUGCUUGUUCAUGAAGCAACCUUGGUCAUGAAGUUGGAAUGGAAGAUGGGACAAAUUAGGAAUUAACAUGAAGAGAAUAUGAUUAGGCUUAGAGAAUAUGUGAGUUGACUUUGGUCAAAGUUGACCAAAGUCAACCUUUGGUCAAAGUGCCAUUUUUUGUAAUUUAUUUGUAUGUAUGGACAUUCUUAUGAUUUGUAAUGAAUAUGAUAUUUGGUAUGAAUGGAAAUUGUUGUUUUGUAUGAA